UACGUAGGGUGCAAGCGUUGUCCGGAAUUAUUGGGCGUAAAGAGCUCGUAGGCGGUUUGUCGCGUCGGCUGUGAAAUCCCGGAGCUCAACUCCGGGUCUGCAGUCGAUACGGGCGGACUUGAGUACUGCAGGGGAGACUGGAAUUCCUGGUGUAGCGGUGAAAUGCGCAGAUAUCAGGAGGAACACCGGUGGCGAAGGCGGGUCGCUGGGCAGUAACUGACGCUGAGGAGCGAAAGCGUGGGGAGCGAACAGG
RNAcentral lists this ribosomal RNA (253 nucleotides) under uncultured bacterium. Its description in RNAcentral is "partial 16S ribosomal RNA". It matches the Rfam family "Bacterial small subunit ribosomal RNA", at positions 524 to 776 of the family's 1533-position model. The record is from RNAcentral.